Molecule: ribosomal RNA, 253 nt
Filed under: uncultured bacterium
Lineage: Bacteria
Description: partial 16S ribosomal RNA
Rfam family: Bacterial small subunit ribosomal RNA
Source: RNAcentral
UACGAAGGGUGCAAGCGUUACUCGGAAUUACUGGGCGUAAAGAGCGCGCAGGCGGUCGUUCAAGUCGCGUGUGAAAGCCCCCGGCUCAACUGGGGAGGGUCACGCGAUACUGAUCGACUCGAAGGCAGGAGAGGGAAGUGGAAUUCCCGGUGUAGUGGUGAAAUGCGUAGAUAUCGGGAGGAACACCAGUGGCGAAGGCGACUUCCUGGCCUGUUCUUGACGCUGAGGCGCGAAAGCUAGGGGAGCAAACGGG